RNAcentral lists this ribosomal RNA (253 nucleotides) under uncultured bacterium. RNAcentral's name for it is "partial 16S ribosomal RNA". It matches the Rfam family "Bacterial small subunit ribosomal RNA", at positions 524 to 776 of the family's 1533-position model. The record is from RNAcentral.
UACGUAGGUGGCUAGCGUUGUCCGGAUUUACUGGGCGUAAAGAGCGCGCAGGCGGUCGUUCAAGUCGAGUGUGAAAGCCCCCGGCUCAACUGGGGAGGGUCACUCGAUACUGAUCGACUCGAAGGCAGGAGAGGGAAGCGGAAUUCCCGGUGUAGUGGUGAAAUGCGUAGAUAUCGGGAGGAACACCAGUGGCUAAGGCGGCUUUCUGGCCUGCUCUUGACGCUGAGGCGCGAAAGCUAGGGUAGCAAACGGG